AAAAGCUCAAAUUUGAAAUCUGGCUUCGGCCCGAGUUGUAAUUUGUAGAGGAUGUUUCGGGCACCGCCCCGGCGUAAGUCCCUUGGAACAGGGCGUCAUAGAGGGUGAGAAUCCCGUCUGGCGUCGUGGUAGGGCCCAUGUGAAACUCCUUCGACGAGUCGAGUUGUUUGGGAAUGCAGCUCAAAAUGGGUGGUAAAUUUCAUCUAAAGCUAAAUACUGGCCAGAGACCGAUAGCGCACAAGUAGAGUGAUCGAAAGAUGAAAAGCACUUUGAAAAGAGAGUUAAACAGUAUGUGAAAUUGUUGAAAGGGAAGCGCUUACAACCAGACUUGAGCCCGUCGGUUCCCCCUCGCUUCUGCGUGGGCUACUCCGGCGGGUCCAGGCCAACAUCGGUUCGGGUGGCUGGUCAAAGGCCCCGGGAAUGUACCUCACCUUCGGGUUAGGCUUAUAGCCCGGGGUGUCAUGCGGCCUACCUGGACCGAGGAACGCGCUUCGGCUCGGAUGUUGGCGUAAUGGUUGUCAGCGACCCGUCUUGAAACACGGACCAAGGAGUCGAAGAGCUAUGCGAGUGUUUGGGUGUCAAACCCGUACGCGUAAUGAAAGUGAACGGAGGUAGGAAGCUUCGGCUGCACUAUCGACCGAUCCUGAUGUUCUCGGAUGGAUUUGAGUAAGAGCAUAACUCUCCGGACCCGAAAGAUGGUGAACUAUGCCUGAAUAGGGUGAAGCCAGAGGAAACUCUGGUGGAGGCUCGCAGCGGUUCUGACGUGCAAAUCGAUCGUCAAAUUUGGGUAUAGGGGCGAAAGACUAAUCGAACCAUUGAAGAAAUAGCUACUCAGGUGGUUAAUUGCGGCCUGAAAGGGCGUGGGCAAGUCCCCGGUCAAGGGGCAACAUCGUCAAAGUGCGGGGACCUCCUAAAGCCUCUACCACCAAACGGCGCCCCGAAAGGGAGCCCGUGGCCACGUUAACAGCGUCGGGUAUGGUAACAGCGUAGAGUGAUGCAACAAUGGAUGAUCCGCAGCCAAGUCCUAAGGGCUCCCAGAGCCUACGGAUGCCGUUCAUCGACUGGAUGGCGGUGGGCUCCGGGCACUUCGGUGCCUGGAGUCUAAGAUACAGUCAGUCCCCCGGGGAGACCCGGGCGUACAUCGCUAAACCCGCGGCGGUAGUGACCCCCUCUACGAGGGUCGCCGCGGGCCCGAACGGUGCGGGUGUCUACGGGCACCGGAGCAAACGCUGGUAGCUGGUUCCUGCCGAAGUUUCCCUCAGGAUAGCAGUAACGUUUUCAGUUUUAUGAGGUAAAGCGAAUGAUUAGAGGCCUUGGGGUUGAAACAACCUUAACCUAUUCUCAAACUUUAAAUAUGUAAGAAGUCCUUGUUACUUAGUUGAACGUGGACAUUUGAAUGUAUCGUUACUAGUGGGCCAUUUUUGGUAAGCAGAACUGGCGAUGCGGGAUGAACCGAACGUGAGGUUAAGGUGCCGGACUGCACGCUCAUCAGACACCACAAAAGGUGUCAAUGCAUCUAGACAGCCGGACGGUGGCCAUGGAAGUCGGAAUCCGCUUAGGAGUGUGUAACAACUCACCGGCCGAAUGCAUUGGCCCUGAAAAUGGAUCGCGCUUAAGCGUGCGACCUAUACCUCGCCGUCA
This 1641-nucleotide ribosomal RNA is filed under the name Dothideomycetes sp. TRN 270. RNAcentral describes it as "LSU rRNA". It matches the Rfam family "Eukaryotic large subunit ribosomal RNA", at positions 103 to 1357 of the family's 3401-position model. The record is from RNAcentral. Lineage: Eukaryota; Fungi; Ascomycota; Dothideomycetes.